Long non-coding RNA from Cyprinus carpio (common carp), 1543 nucleotides. Lineage: Eukaryota; Metazoa; Chordata; Actinopteri; Cypriniformes; Cyprinidae. The record is from Ensembl.
CAGGAGAACAGGAAAGCACAGUCGACUCUGCGAUGCCAUCUGGAUCAGGUAUCGAAGUGAGUGGCGAGACAGGGCUUAAUAUUCUCAGAACAAUUCUGAGUAAACAAUCAAACCUUGAGGACGCAGACAUUGCAGCUGCAAUGCCGAAAAUCAGCUUCUCUCAAGAAUGGCACCAAAGUACUUUCAAGAAAUAGAUCAGUUUGUGGAGAACCACUUACCCUCGCUGCCACCAGAGGGAUCUCAAGUAAAGCAGAUGCAGGACUUUCUAAAGAGCGCACAGAGUAUUAUAUGCAAUGAGGUGCGCAGAUUAACACCUUUACUGAAAAAUGCUGGACUGCUAGUUCAUCUGAAGGACAGUUACAGCCGUCACCUCUUUACCAACCUGGACCUGCUACUAAACAGAGAUCUGUCUGUAAAACAGAUCUUCUGCCUUAUUAUGUGGGAAAAAGAUGUUUUCUUCAGUCCAGACUCAAAACUGAGUGUGUACGACCCUUCGCUGCUGACAGGAAGGUUUGAGAGAGCAAAGCAGAAACUGCUUCAAGUACUUCAGGAUGACAUCUCCACGACUCUACAGAACAUCCGACACUAUGAUGAGGAACAUGGACAUAGUGAGGACUCAAUGGAUGAAGAAACUUUCAUCAGAGUUCACUUAGAUGUCACCCAGUGUCUGAAUGCUGUUAUUAACAAUUCUAAAGAAUUUAGUAACACCCUGAUGUGUACAGCACAGACGCUCUGCCUUAAAGAGCUUCAUCAUUUUGUUCAGGAGUAUGCACAUGCACAGAAAAAAUGUCUGGGAAAACAGAAACCCCUGAACUCAAAAUAUGUGCAUCUGUUUCGGCUCAUCAGCACCAGUAGGCAACUCAGAUUUUUUGCUGAUCGACUCAACAAUCCGGAUAUUAACAACAGUAACGACCUCUCAAACAUCAUCUGCAUGUUAGAGGAGCUGGAAGAUCACGUUCUGUCAAUUGUACAGAAGAUGAUGAAACACUUAGCGCAGGGCUAUUUGAGAAAAUAUUUCAAAAAAGAAGGUGAGCAAAUUCAAAUGCUGACAGAGGGCAUUCAAAAGCGGUGUGCAUCUCUGCCUCAGGCUCAUGUGGGAAAAGAGAUUCAGGAGAUCUUUGUAAAUGUAGCCUAUGACUGCAUUUCACACGUAUAUCUGGAUUGCCUGAUGAAGAGCAAGUUCAAGCGGCUAGAGAAGAGAUGGGGAAAUGUCGGAGAAAGGAUGAGAGAGGAUGCUCUCAGUUUUCACAACACAUUUACUGAACUGAAUGGCAGUGAUGACCAGAGGUACCAUCUCCUUCAGAGAAUGAGUGAAGUUUUGCUCUGCAGUGAUGUAGAUGCACUGAAGAUUACCUGUUGUGAUUUGUUCAGGGAUUUCCCUCAAGACAGUGAGCAGUAUGUACCUGGUCUGCUGCGCUGGAAAGGUGUGUUAUCAGAGCGACAGGUGAAGGAAGUGCUGACUGUGAGCCGGGAUCUCGUUCUGGAUCUAAAGCCUAGACGUGUCACAUGUCAGCGUCUGAAGGGGCUUUGCUGUUGUCUUUGA